GAAGCCCAGGUAAACGGCGGCCGUAACAAUAACGGUCCUAAGGUAGCGAAAUUCCUUGUCGGGUAAGUUCCGACCUGCACGAAUGGCGUAACGAUGGCCACACUGUCUCCUCCUGAGACUCAGCGAAGUUGAAAUGUUUGUGAUGAUGCAAUCUCCCCGCGGAAAGACGGAAAGACCCCAUGAACCUUUACUGUAGCUUUGUAUUGGACUUUGAACAGAUCUGUGUAGGAUAGGUGGGAGGCUUUGAAGCAGCGCCGCUAGGUGUUGUGGAGCCAACGUUGAAAUACCACCCUGGUGUGUUUGAGGUUCUAACCUUGGCCCGUUAUCCGGGUUAGGGACAGUGCAUGGUAGGCAGUUUGACUGGGGCGGUCUCCUCCCAAAGCGUAACGGAGGAGUUCGAAGGUACGCUAGGCACGGUCGGAAAUCGUGCUAAUAGUGCAUAGGCAUAAGCGUGCUUGACUGCGAGACUGACAAGUCGAGCAGGUACGAAAGUAGGACUAAGUGAUCCGGUGGUUCUGUAUGGAAGGGCCAUCGCUCAACGGAUAAAAGGUACUCUGGGGAUAACAGGCUGAUACCGCCCAAGAGUUCAUAUCGACGGCGGUGUUUGGCACCUCGAUGUCGGCUCAUCUCAUCCUGGGGCUGUAGCCGGUCCCAAGGGUAUGGCUGUUCGCCAUUUAAAGCGGUACGUGAGUUGGGUUCAGAACGUCGUGAGACA
This 715-nucleotide ribosomal RNA is filed under the name Gloeochaete wittrockiana. RNAcentral describes it as "partial Bacterial large subunit ribosomal RNA". It matches the Rfam family "Bacterial large subunit ribosomal RNA", at positions 1914 to 2628 of the family's 2925-position model. Lineage: Eukaryota; Glaucocystophyceae; Gloeochaetales; Gloeochaetaceae. The record is from RNAcentral.